This 28-nucleotide small RNA is filed under the name Bombyx mori (domestic silkworm). RNAcentral's name for it is "ovarian small RNA-14666". The record is from RNAcentral. Lineage: Eukaryota; Metazoa; Arthropoda; Insecta; Lepidoptera; Bombycidae.
CUCCACCUUAUCCCACUAUGUGGGGUCG